Molecule: long non-coding RNA, 1153 nt
Organism: Hirundo rustica (Barn swallow)
Lineage: Eukaryota; Metazoa; Chordata; Aves; Passeriformes; Hirundinidae
Exons: 3
Source: RefSeq, a predicted model, not a curated record
CAGCCCUUCUGGUUGGGCUCCAAAGCAGUGACUGUACCAAGCUGAGAGGCAGAAACCUUGGAGUGUACUGCCUGCUGGAGCUGGUGCAGUGCUGGCCUCCCAAGAGUGGGGAGAAGCCUCAAGAAUAACCACCAGGACUUCCAAACACAGAGGAAAGAGCACAGUGAGGAAGUGAUUAGCAAGAUUACUGCGAGAGAUGAACUGACAGUAGUGGAGAAACAGGUGACCUCAUUUGAAUGACAUCAGCCUCCUGACAAGGGUUCCACUUGAAAGGACACUAUAACAUCUAGUGGCUGUUUAACACCAUGAGGUCUCCAAGUGUUUACUGCAAAUUGAAAACCAAUGAACAAGGACUGUGAAGUAAUUUGUCCUGUAGGUACUUCCCUUGCUCACUGUCCGAAGCUGAGGAAUGUGCAAAAACAGAAGGGCAAGCUCAGGUUACAACUCAUGACUUGUCUUCCACUGCAUCGGAGUUUCUAACUGGUGCAAAUGUUAUGAGGCUUCUCCACCUGUGUAAGAGGAACAAACAGCCUCACCCGGCCCCCACCAAUUUACAUCUGUGGUUGCUCAGUAUCAUCCUGUACAGCAGCAAAAGUACCUGCAUCUGGGACACUGCGCAGCAGCAAGAAGCUACAUUGGGUGAUUGUUCUUGCAAAGUAGGUACCUUGUGACAGCAUCCUGGCAUUCUAGGACAUCUCUGCACAUAUCAGGUGGCACACACAGACCACAGACAUACUUGCACUACCAUGGAGAUACCUGGUUUGCUUAUUGAAGUCAGCAUGGAAGUGCUUUUCAUUGCUAAGUAUUGCAUUAUGCAGCUGCUGCAUUCUUUUUUCUUCAUACCCAUAUAAGGGGAAAGCCAUGUAAAGCAAGUCUGAGACAUACACACACAGGUGGUGCCUCUGUACGCAGUAAAGAGUCUGUUUUCUGUUGUGUGUAGGGGAGAGGUAAAGUUCUCCUUCCCACUGCAGGGAAGAAAAAUACAGCCUCCCCAACAUGACAAGGUGACAGAUUCACUUCUUAGAAGAGAAUGUUCUUAGAAGAUGAGUGGUCAAGUCACGAGUAAAGGAGACAUCAGAAGAUGAGGAGGUGGCUACAAGCCUGAUUUUCUUCCCUGAAUUUUUUUGUCAGAUAGCAUUGUAGAUGAAGUCAU